This 28-nucleotide non-coding RNA is filed under the name Mus musculus (house mouse). Lineage: Eukaryota; Metazoa; Chordata; Mammalia; Rodentia; Muridae. The record is from RNAcentral.
UGAUAGUCAUCAGCAAAAGGUUUUGGUA